CCUUGGAUGGGGAAGUAACAGCUGGAAACAGCUGCUAAUACCGCAUGAUGCAGUUGAGUCGCAUGGCUCUGACUGCCAAAGACUUAUCGCUCUGAGAUGGACUCGCGUCUGAUUAGCUAGUUGGUGGGGCAACGGCCCACCAAGGCGACGAUCAGUAGCCGGACUGAGAGGUUGGCCGGCCACAUUGGGACUGAGACACGGCCCAGACUCCUACGGGAGGCAGCAG
RNAcentral lists this ribosomal RNA (226 nucleotides) under uncultured bacterium. RNAcentral's name for it is "partial 16S ribosomal RNA". It matches the Rfam family "Bacterial small subunit ribosomal RNA", at positions 129 to 354 of the family's 1533-position model. The record is from RNAcentral.